AACACUGUUAACCUGCGGUACCUGCGGAAGGAUCAUUACAGAGUUGCAAGACUCCCUAAACCAUUGUGAACCUACCUUCUACCGUUGCUUCGGCGGGCGGGCCCAGCGCCCCCCCGGCCCCCCGCGGGCGCCCGCCGGAGGAUACCCAAACUCUUGACAUUAGUGGCCUCUCUGAGUAUUCUUUACUGAAUAAGUCAAAACUUUCAACAACGGAUCU
This 217-nucleotide unclassified non-coding RNA is filed under the name soil metagenome. RNAcentral describes it as "partial contains 5.8S ribosomal RNA, internal transcribed spacer 2, and large subunit ribosomal RNA". The record is from RNAcentral.